CCUACGGGAGGCAGCAGUGGGGAAUAUUGGACAAUGGGGGGAACCCUGAUCCAGCGACGCCGCGUGAGUGAAGAAGGCCCUCGGGUUGUAAACUUCUUUUAUUCGGGACGAAACAAAUGACGGUACUGAAUGAAUAAGCCACGGCUAACGACGGGCCAGCAGCGGCGGUAAUACGUAGGGGGCAAGCGUUAUCCGGAUUUACUGGGUGUAAAGGGCGUGUAGGCGGGAGAGCAAGUCAGACGUGAAAUUCCAGGGCUCAACCCUGGAACUGCGUUUGAAACUGUUCUUCUUGAGUGAUGGAGAGGCAGGCGGAAUUCCGUGUGUAGCGGUGAAAUGCGUAGAUAUACGGAGGAACACCAGUGGCGAAGGCGGCCUGCUGGACAUUAACUGACGCUGAGGCGCGAAAGCGUGGGGAGCAAACAGGAUUAGAUACCCGAGUAGUC
RNAcentral lists this ribosomal RNA (443 nucleotides) under uncultured bacterium. RNAcentral describes it as "partial 16S ribosomal RNA". It matches the Rfam family "Bacterial small subunit ribosomal RNA", at positions 338 to 795 of the family's 1533-position model. The record is from RNAcentral.